AGAGCUAAAAGAUCUGACUUUGAUCAUCCACAGCAGCCAGGCUCCCUCCCUACCGCUCAGCUCCGAUGCACUGCUGGUGGGAGGGGAGGUGCUUUGCCUGGCCGCCCCCUUCUCUGGGGAUCCUGUCUCGGUCGCUUCCCCCACUCCUGUUCCCGGGCUUGUAUCAACCCCACCCAGUGGCUACUGCUGUCUGUGCCCGAGGACCUCAUCUCCUCGCAGAGGCUGGCUCCCCGCAUCCCGCAUCCCACACGGGGACACGCCUGUGGCCUUGCCAGGGUGGGCGGGACACGGCCUCUUUCCUUCCUUCCCAUCCAGCGCCGGUGAGGCUCAGCACUCACUGUCUCACUGGCAGCACAAAGCCUUGGGGGCUCCACGGGAUAAUUAAUAGCGAGGACGCCCCCAGGGACCUCCGGAAAGAGACACCAUUGGUGGCAGGCCUCCAGGUUCUCGUCUGCCUGCUAUUGAAUUUUGUGGCGGUGAUUUCUUCAGAAACUGCCUCUUCCCACCCCCACUCCACCCACAGAGAGGAUGAGCUACAUCCGUACAGAGCCUGGCACUCCGGAUGCUGGCGGAAUUGAUUCAGUAGCAUGAGCAGGAAGGUCCAUUUGAAGAGAUCACUCCAAAACAGCGGUUCGCAACAAGGUGGGAGUGGAAGGGAAUGUUCUCCUGGGAGUGGGUGGGGGUGGGGUGUCAGCGUGUGGACCUGGUACAGCAGCGUUUGAAAAUACCUCCAGUAUUCUAAUAUAAUUUAAAAUAAUAAUUAGCCGGGUGUGGUGACUCGUGCCUGUAAUCCCAGCUACUAGGGAGGCUGAGGUGGGAGGAUUCCUUGAGCCCUGGAGUUCAAGACCAGCCUGGACAGCAUAGCAAACCCCUGUCUCACAUAAAUAAUAAUAAUAAUAAUAAUGAUUAUUAUUCAAUGUUUUUGUCAUUCAAACCACAGGUAGUAAAGCUUGACAGAAUUGUUGUGGGUGGGAUGUGAGCUAAAAAUAUUGAGAACCAGGACCUAGCAGAUUGUCUGCUGUAAGUUCCCUGGCUGUGGAGGAUGGAGUCUCCCCUGAAGAGUAGUGUUGGUCCUUGGGACAGUGGCCGCAGUCCAGCCCAUCACAGAAAGGAAUGGUGCUCCCUGGGGCUGGAAACCGGUGUCUGGAGUUGGGGGAGGUGGGGAGGAACUUGGAGAUUCGGCUCACUGUCAGUCUUGUUAAGGAGGCCAGUGUCUAAAGUGGGAACCACACCAGGUAAGCUGUAUUCUAAUCUGCUCCUUGUUUUCUUGGCAGAAUGGUUCAUGCAGGACAGAAAAAGGAGAGACAAAGGACUGUCAGGAGAGUGACUGGUCCAAAUGAGGACUCAGGAACCCCCAGUGGAUCCAGAGAGAAAAACACUCUGGGUAGGAAGGGCAUGGGAAGUGAUUACUAUGCACUUGUGCUGGAGCAAAAUGACACCAGGGGAGGUUGACCAGCACCCUCUGGGUUCAUUCUUUUUAUAAGGAAGACUUCUGGUCUCUUACUCUGUUCCUUGAAUGGAUUUACAUCCCAGAAAGAUGUGUGCUCUGUGCAAAUGAAGGGGUACUCUUCCACUGUAAAGAAUGCAUUGGCUUUCUGGACUGGGGGGCCGGCUGGUACAAGUGUUUCCCAGGAGAGAGAAGUUUCUGAAAGGAUUUUUGGAGUUGCAGAGUCAAGGACCAGGCUGGGAGUCUUGGUGACCCCACCAAGCACAGAGGAUGCCAGGCGCCUGAUUGGAGAAGGCUGUGGGAGUCUUCUAGAACAAUCGUGCUAACUGCACACACCAUCUGCAUGAACCAAUACCAGGUUGUACUGGUAUUCAGCCAUCUUGUACUAUUUCCUCGGGGUGUCCCUAGAGUGUUUCGUUUUUGACUAGCAUUUCAGCAGCCUGCAGGUAGGGACAGCAUUUCAUACACAGUGUGCGCCUCCCAGGAGCCAGGUGCAGCUGGGGUGUGUGACUGUGAGGCUCCUUGCUGUCCAUGACAUAAUGUCACCCCCACUGCCUCAGCUUACUCCCCAGUCACCCCUUGAGGUAACAGGGCUGGUGCUUUUACAAUUCCCAUUUUAAAGAUGAGGAAACAGGCUGGGUGUGGUGGCUCACGCCUGCAAUCCCAGCACUUUGGGAGGCUGAGGCAGGUGGGUCAUUUGAGUUCAGGAGUUCGAGAUCAGCCUGACCAACACAAAAAAUUACCAGAGUGUGGUGGUGCAUGCCUGUCAUUUCAGCUACUUGGGAGGCUGAGGCCUGAGAAUUGCUUGAACCCAGAGGUGGACGUUGCAGUGAGCCGAGAUCGCACCACUGCACUCUAGCCUGGGUGACACAGCGAGACUCCAUCUCAAAAAAAAAAAAAAAAAAAAAAGAUGAGGAAACAGAGGUCAGUGAGUGCUGGCCUCAAGAGAACCUCAAAAUCCCACUCUGCCUAGCCCUGCCUGCCCUUGUCUUCAAUCCUUGAGGAACAGAAUGAUGCCAGGUGUGAGUUGUUCAGGUAUCCCCCCAAUAUCUCCUCCUACAUGGUGGGGAGGGUGACCACGGCAG
Long non-coding RNA from Macaca mulatta (Rhesus monkey), 2532 nucleotides. Lineage: Eukaryota; Metazoa; Chordata; Mammalia; Primates; Cercopithecidae. The record is from Ensembl.